Molecule: long non-coding RNA, 1452 nt
Organism: Aegilops tauschii subsp. strangulata
Lineage: Eukaryota; Viridiplantae; Streptophyta; Magnoliopsida; Poales; Poaceae
Source: RefSeq, a predicted model, not a curated record
CCUUCCUGACGGUCGCUGCCUCGCCUCCUCGCCCUACCGUCCCAUCUACCCUACCCUUCAAACCUCGAUCUUCUCUCCGUGUGGAGCUGGUGGCAGAGGUACGGCCGGGGGGAGAUGAAGCAACGGCGGCGUGCCACCGCCACCUCCGAUGCACAGCGGCCACGGCACCAUCGGCACAAGAUUCGCAUGGGGAUCCCAGCCGUCGAGCAAGAGAGGCCCACCAACGACCGGCUAGAUUAGAGGCGAGGUGGAUUCUACUAACAAGGCCCUCUCCCCUCUCUCAUAUUCUGCGUGAUCUGAGGCAGGAGGCGCUGAAUCCUUCCCGAUUUGGCCUUCUUCCUCCAUGAUUUGGCCUUCUUUCUAGCCUCCGCUCAUCUCUGGUCCGUCAUCGUUCAGUUCCUGUGACCCGUGCACCGACAGAAGACCCUAGCCCCGCCUCCUCUGAACGUCCCUCUGAACAUCGCAGUUCUUCUCCACGAAGAUUGUGCCCUUCAUAGUCUGAUGGGGUGGUCACUGUUGUCAACAUCUUCGUGCUCUUCCUGCACGAGGAAAAUAGCAGAUGGUGUCGACCAUGGCGUCGUCCCCAGCUCUAGCACGUCGGAGAUGACGGGCCACCAGUCAACAUGAGCUCCACCAUGAAUGACAAGUGCAGGUAACUCGGAAAUUCCGGAUUUCGGUCUUCAUAUUUACAUCCGAGAGGAAAAGAAGUGUUGCACGGUCAUAUUCCAUAACUGUAUGAUGAACUGAACCUGAAGUAUCUCUUGAAGUUCAUGUACACUAUUGUUUGAUAAAUUGGUGGCAAAUAGCUGUGUGAGCUUCAUUUGGUCAGGUUCUUUCGACUACAUGAUACAUGAGACAUGGAUUCCUAAGGAUUGUUCAAGUGCGUUCAGUGUUAACGGAUGGAAUACAGAAUAGCCUUGGCCACAAUGAGCAGAAGAAGUACAAUAUGGGUGACUGCAGGUACCUCCCCAGGGACACAACUACUACCGUCACUGUUGAAGGAAUCACAGUUGUGCUGGAAGGUCCUUCCUGCUUGCUGUGUCUGCCUUCUCAUCUUAUUUCCUCCCUCCGUCCCAAAAUAACUGUCUCAAGCUUAGUACAAUUUUGUACUAAGGCUAGUACAAAGUUGAAAGCAGGCUGAGGAGAACACAGAUGCACGGCCAGCUGUGCGGAUUAGGCGAUGGAACCAAUAACAGGAGAAAGGACGGAAAAUAGGAAGGAGAUGAUGAGAUUGGCAUUGGGCAGUCGUCUACAAAUGUGUCAUGUCGUGGUGGUCAGAUUAGGCCCAGCUAAUCAAUUGUCUUUGGGCAGCACUAGAGAAUUGAUGAAUGCAUGUUGUACAAUUUUCUAUGAUCUUCUCUGAUUUUCUAACAAAUGUGAAAUGUUGAUCAACUAAUAUUUGAGAUGUAAAUUAAUAUUCAAUUGUAGAAAUUGAUAUAUGUACUUCCUUCA